AUUAAGCAUAUCAAUAAGCGGAGGAAAAGAAACCAACAGGGAUUGCCCCAGUAACGGCGAGUGAAGCGGCAACAGCUCAAAUUUGAAAUCUGGCCCUCGGGUCCGAGUUGUAAUUUGUAGAGGAUGCUUUUGGCGAGGUGCCUUCCGAGUUCCCUGGAACGGGACGCCAUAGAGGGUGAGAGCCCCGUCUGGUCGGACACCGAGCCUCUGUAAAGCUCCUUCAACGAGUCGAGUAGUUUGGGAAUGCUGCUCAAAAUGGGAGGUAUAUGUCUUCUAAAGCUAAAUAUUGGCCAGAGACCGAUAGCGCACAAGUAGAGUGAUCGAAAGAUGAAAAGCACUUUGAAAAGAGGGUUAAAAAGUACGUGAAAUUGUUGAAAGGGAAGCGCCUAUGACCAGACUUGCGCCCGGUGAAUCAUCCAGCGUUCUCGCUGGUGCACUUUGCCGGGCACAGGCCAGCAUCAGUUUGGCGCGGGGGAAAAAGGCUUCGGGAAUGUGGCUCCCUCGGGAGUGUUAUAGCCCGCUGCGUAAUACCCUGCGCCGGACUGAGGUACGCGCAUCGCAAGGAUGCUGGCGUAAUGGUCAUCAGCGACCCGUCUUGAA
This 600-nucleotide ribosomal RNA is filed under the name Beauveria bassiana. Its description in RNAcentral is "LSU rRNA". It matches the Rfam family "Eukaryotic large subunit ribosomal RNA", at positions 33 to 658 of the family's 3401-position model. Lineage: Eukaryota; Fungi; Ascomycota; Sordariomycetes; Hypocreales; Cordycipitaceae. The record is from RNAcentral.